AAACAUAUUCUUUUCAAAAUGAAUGCAUCUAAAAACAUCAUGCUCAUAGUCAACAUGAACUCAAAUGUAAAUUCUAAAUUACAUCUAAAUCUAUAUGAAGCAUGUGUUAUUAUUUCUCCUUGCAGAUUGCAAUGAAGAAUUCAUUGGCGAAGUCCUUCCUUUUAUGUAUUGUUUUAAAUGUACCAAAAUGUUCUCGAGUUUCCGACUGAGAAAUGAAUUGCAUGGUGAACUGGGGCUUGCCUCAGUGGUAGCACCCCUCUGCCCAAGAGGCAGUGGUUCCGGGAUUGUAUCUUGGAUGGUGCAUAUUGAAGAUUUGGGCCAGGGUAAUUAAAUUCAGGGUGGGUUCUCCUCCCUUUCUCUAAUUAAAAAAGAAAGAUAAGUCCAUUGCAUGCUUAUGGAGAUAAUUAAGGGAAAAAGAUAGGGCAGCUAAGAUUUAUUUUUGUUGAACUUAAUAUACAAUGUUUACUCGUUCCUAGAAGCUUAAGCGUUUGUGUUCUAGUGGUUGCUAAACAGUUUCAUGGCAUUCUAAGAAGGCCAUUUAUUAGCUUAUAUAAAUUCAGUGGCAUGGGAGUCUACAAGGUUUAAGAACCUGACAUGACAUGGUUCUUCAAGGUUAAAUGGAUAUUGGAAGCUCAACAUAACCAUCAGCAUUGCAUUUCUUAUAGUUUACUCUAUGCAAAAGAAAAGCUGUGCUCAGUAUUUUUGUUGGCAAUAUCUAAAAAGCAAGCUAAUUCCCGUAAACGAGAAUGAGUUUUAAGCAUGCCCAUUUACCUGC
RNAcentral lists this long non-coding RNA (775 nucleotides) under Phoenix dactylifera (date palm). Its description in RNAcentral is "long non-coding RNA (PDAC_LNC001142)". Lineage: Eukaryota; Viridiplantae; Streptophyta; Magnoliopsida; Arecales; Arecaceae. The record is from RNAcentral.